RNAcentral lists this long non-coding RNA (1186 nucleotides) under Brassica napus (rape). RNAcentral's name for it is "long non-coding RNA (BNAP_LNC022043)". Lineage: Eukaryota; Viridiplantae; Streptophyta; Magnoliopsida; Brassicales; Brassicaceae. The record is from RNAcentral.
UAACUUUUAUCUAUUUAAAUCAAUGCAAACAACAAAAAGAGGUAGUCAUAACUACCCAAAAGAAAAGCGUGUUCUAGUGUGUUCUUAAUUUGUUCUUGAACAAAUUCUCUUUGAUUUGAAGAGAGACCUUAAUUGGUAUCAAAUCACAUGUUUCUAGAUCAACGUUGAUAUCUCUUGGCAAGGGACCUAUCAGUGGUAUCAGAGCAUGUUUUGUUUUUGAUCCGGACCACUUUGUGGUAUCAAAAACUUUAUAUUUUUCAUCUUCCUUGUUAUCGGUAUUCUUCAUGAAUCAACGGUUAUCAAGAAUCCUCGACGAACGAUCAUUCUCAGAAUCAACGAUCAUUGAGAUCUAUCCAGCGAUUUUUUCUUUUUACCAUUUUCUUCUUUUCUUCUAAUUUACUUCUCGCUAUUCCACCGUCUAAAAGUUAAGAAUAGUGGAAAUAUGUUUCUACGGUAACAUACAAACGAUAUUCCAAGGUUGUAAUCUUUUUACAUAUUACCAAUGACUAAUAUAUCCGCAUGUGUGUAAUGAAAACUAUUCAAAGUACUUUUAUGUAGUAACUAACUAAAAAUGGAAUCGAUUUCAUCUUACUUGUCAUUUAAAAGAAAAGCAAAAAAAAACAGUUUUAUUCUAAUAAGGAAACAAGCUUGGUCUGGGUCUUUGAAGUUGUAAUGCGUUGAAAGACAUCUACUGGCAAGAAGAAUCAACAUGGAAGAAAGAGAAGCAACUCAAGUCGAGCUUUCCUCAGUUCAUCACGAACCUUGAGGACAAGGUUCUUUGACGUCCGGAGUAUUGAUGAGAUAGUAAUCGCGUUAACGUUGGUCAACUAACCGGACCUGGUUUGCAGUGUUUCAUUGUUCUUUUAAUUAUUUAUUUUAAUGAGUUUAGUUGUUAAUAAUGGAGACUGAUUCUUCCUAAUGUUUAGGAACUUAAUCAUCCCACGUUUCCCAUUUCAUCGUUGUAUAGGGAUCAUGAUCCCACAAUUGCUUCUUGUAACUUUUAUCUAUUUAAAUCAAUGCAAACAACAAAAAGAGGUAGUCAUAACUACCCAAAAGAAAAGCGUGUUCUAGUGUGUUCUUAAUUUGUUCUUGAACAAAUUCUCUUUGAUUUGAAGAGAGACCUUAAUUGGUAUCAAAUCACAUGUUUCUAGAUCAACAUUGAUAUCUCUUGGCAAGGGACCUAUCA